GCGCAACCCUGUCCUUAGUUACCUAGCACGUUAUGGUGGGCACUCUAAGGAGACUGCCGGUGACAAACCGGAGGAAGGUGGGGAUGGCGUCAAGUCAUCAUGGCCCUUACGGCCUAGGCUACACACGUGCUACAAUGGUCGGUACAAAGGGUUGCCAAGCCGCGAGGUGGAGCUAAUCCCAUAAAACCGAUCGUAGUCCGGAUCGCAGUCUGCAACUCGACUGCGUGAAGUCGGAAUCGCUAGUAAUCGUGAAUCAGAAUGUCACGGUGAAUACGUUCCCGGGCCUU
RNAcentral lists this ribosomal RNA (287 nucleotides) under uncultured Pseudomonas sp. RNAcentral describes it as "partial 16S ribosomal RNA". It matches the Rfam family "Bacterial small subunit ribosomal RNA", at positions 1096 to 1382 of the family's 1533-position model. The record is from RNAcentral. Lineage: Bacteria; Pseudomonadati; Pseudomonadota; Gammaproteobacteria; Pseudomonadales; Pseudomonadaceae.